GGCUGCGUUGCGCAAUGGAUAACACGUCGGUCUACGGAACCGAAGAUUACAGGUUAAAAUCCUGCCGUGGUCG
This 73-nucleotide transfer RNA is filed under the name Toxocara canis (dog roundworm). It matches the Rfam family "tRNA". From Rfam's summary of the family: Transfer RNA (tRNA) molecules are approximately 80 nucleotides in length. Their secondary structure includes four short double-helical elements and three loops (D, anti-codon, and T loops). Lineage: Eukaryota; Metazoa; Nematoda; Chromadorea; Rhabditida; Toxocaridae. The record is from Rfam by way of RNAcentral.